UCGUAACAAGGUUUCCGUAGGUGAACCUGCGGAAGGAUCAUUACUGUGAUUUAUACACCACACUGCGUGGGCGACACGAAACACCGAAACCGAACGCACGCCGUCAAGCAAGAAAUCCACAAAACUUUCAACAACGGAUCUCUUGGUUCUCGCAUCGAUGAAGAGCGCAGCGAAAUGCGAUACCUAGUGUGAAUUGCAGCCAUCGUGAAUCAUCGAGUUCUUGAACGCACAUUGCGCCCGCUGGUAUUCCGGCGGGCAUGCCUGUCUGAGCGUCGUUUCCUUCUUGGAGCGGAGCUUCAGACCUGGCGGGCUGUCUYUCGGGACGGCGCGCCCAAAGCGAGGGGCCUUCUGCGCGAACUAGACUGUGCGCGCGGGGCGGCCGGCGAACUUAUUACCAAGCUCGACCUCAGAUCAGGCAGGAGUACCCGCUGAACUUAAGCAUAUCAAUAA
RNAcentral lists this unclassified non-coding RNA (450 nucleotides) under Pichia fermentans. Its description in RNAcentral is "sequence contains 18S rRNA gene, ITS1, 5.8S rRNA gene, ITS2, 28S rRNA gene". The record is from RNAcentral. Lineage: Eukaryota; Fungi; Ascomycota; Pichiomycetes; Pichiales; Pichiaceae.